AACGAACGCUGGCGGCAUGCCUAACACAUGCAAGUCGAACGAAGGCCUCGGCCUUAGUGGCGCACGGGUGAGUAACGCGUGGGAAACUGCCUAUUGAUGGGGAAUAACGACGGGAAACUGUCGCUAAUACCGCAUAAGCCCUUCGGGGGAAAGAUUUAUCGCCGAUAGAUGUGCCCGCGUCCGAUUAGCUAGUUGGUGAGGUAAUGGCUCACCAAGGCGACGAUCGGUAGCUGGUCUGAGAGGAUGAUCAGCCACACUGGGACUGAGACACGGCCCAGACUCCUACGGGAGGCAGCAGUGGGGAAUAUUGGACAAUGGGCGAAAGCCUGAUCCAGCAAUGCCGCGUGAGUGAUGAAGGCCUUAGGGUUGUAAAGCUCUUUCGGGUGGGACGAUGAUGACGGUACCACCAGAAGAAGCCCCGGCUAACUUCGUGCCAGCAGCCGCCGUAA
This 449-nucleotide ribosomal RNA is filed under the name uncultured bacterium. RNAcentral describes it as "partial 16S ribosomal RNA". It matches the Rfam family "Bacterial small subunit ribosomal RNA", at positions 29 to 523 of the family's 1533-position model. The record is from RNAcentral.